GGGUGAAAGUAAUAAGGUUGGUGAGUCUCCAGCUGCUGUGGCACAUGAGAGUGAACAAAUGGUUGAAUCUGAACUUGAACCUGCAGCUGAAGCUCCUGUUGAACAUGCUAGUGAACAGGUUAUAGAACCUGAAGUUGGUCCUACAACUGAUGUCCCUAUUGAGCAUGGUAGUGAAAAGGUUGUAGAACAUGAAGGUGAGCUACCUGUUGAACCUCCAAGUGCACC
Molecule: unclassified non-coding RNA, 225 nt
Filed under: Hevea brasiliensis (rubber tree)
Lineage: Eukaryota; Viridiplantae; Streptophyta; Magnoliopsida; Malpighiales; Euphorbiaceae
Source: RNAcentral